GUGAACGCUGGCGGUAGGCCUAACACCUGCAAGUCGAACGGCAGCACAGUAAGAGCUUGCUCUUACGGGUGGCGAGUGGCGGACGGGUGAGGAAUACAUCGGAAUCUACUUUUUCGUGGGGGAUAACGUAGGGAAACUUACGCUAAUACCGCAUACGACCUACGGGUGAAAGCAGGGGAUCUUCGGACCUUGCGCGAUUGAAUGAGCCGAUGUCGGAUUAGCUAGUUGGCGGGGUAAAGGCCCACCAAGGCGACGAUCCGUAGCUGGUCUGAGAGGAUGAUCAGCCACACUGGAACUGAGACACGGUCCAGACUCCUACGGGAGGCAGCAGUGGGGAAUAUUGGACAAUGGGCGCAAGCCUGAUCCAGCCAUACCGCGUGGGUGAAGAAGGCCUUCGGGUUGUAAAGCCCUUUUGUUGGGAAAGAGAAGCAGCAGGUUAAUACCCCGCUGUUCUGACGGUACCCAAAGAAUAAGCACCGGCUAACUUCGUG
Molecule: ribosomal RNA, 491 nt
Filed under: uncultured bacterium
Lineage: Bacteria
Description: partial 16S ribosomal RNA
Rfam family: Bacterial small subunit ribosomal RNA
Source: RNAcentral